AUCACUUCUCGGCCUUUUGGCUAAGAUCGAGUGUAGUAUCCGUUUAAUAUCUGAUACAUCUUCUAUCCAAGGAAAGUAUAUUAAAUGGAUUUUUGGAGCAGGGAGAUGGAAUAGGAGCUUGC
RNAcentral lists this small nuclear RNA (122 nucleotides) under Myotis lucifugus (little brown bat). RNAcentral describes it as "U2 spliceosomal RNA". It matches the Rfam family "U2 spliceosomal RNA", at positions 1 to 133 of the family's 192-position model. From Rfam's summary of the family: U2 is a small nuclear RNA (snRNA) component of the spliceosome (involved in pre-mRNA splicing). Lineage: Eukaryota; Metazoa; Chordata; Mammalia; Chiroptera; Vespertilionidae. The record is from Rfam by way of RNAcentral.